UCGAGAAUCUUCGGCAAUGGGCGCAAGCCUGACCGAGCGACGCCGCGUGUGGGAUGAAGGCCUUCGGGUUGUAAACCACUGUCAGAGGGGAUGAAAUGCAGGUGGGUUCUCCCAUCUGUUUGACAUAGCCUCAGAGGAAGGACGGGCUAAGUUCGUGCCAGCAGCCGCGGUAAGACGAACCGUCCAAACGUUAUUCGGAAUCACUGGGCUUAAAGGGUGCGUAGGCGGCGCGGCAAGUUGGGUGUGAAAU
Molecule: ribosomal RNA, 250 nt
Filed under: uncultured bacterium
Lineage: Bacteria
Description: partial 16S ribosomal RNA
Rfam family: Bacterial small subunit ribosomal RNA
Source: RNAcentral